RNAcentral lists this ribosomal RNA (253 nucleotides) under uncultured bacterium. RNAcentral's name for it is "partial 16S ribosomal RNA". It matches the Rfam family "Bacterial small subunit ribosomal RNA", at positions 524 to 776 of the family's 1533-position model. The record is from RNAcentral.
UACAGAGGUCUCAAGCGUUGUUCGGAUUCAUUGGGCGUAAAGGGUGCGUAGGCGGCGCGGUAAGUCGGGUGUGAAAUCUCGGAGCUUAACUCCGAAACUGCAUUUGAUACUGCGGUGCUUGAGGACUGGAGAGGAGACUGGAAUUUACGGUGUAGCAGUGAAAUGCGUAGAGAUCGUAAGGAAGACCAGUGGCGAAGGCGGGUCUCUGGACAGUUCCUGACGCUGAGGCACGAAGGCCAGGGGAGCAAACGGG